GAUGAACGCUGGCGGCGUGCUUAACACAUGCAAGUCGAACGGAAAGACCAGGCUUUUGUGGGGUGCUCGAGUGGCGAGCGCGUGAGUAAGACACGAGUAUCCUGCCCUUGACAUAGGGGUAACUUCAGGAAACUGAGGCGAAUACAGGAUAGGAACUCCUGCAGCAUGGGGGGGGGUGGAAAGUUUCGGCGGUUGGGGAAGGACUGGCGGCUUAUCCGCUUGUUGGUGGGGUAGUGGAUGCCCAAGGCUGUGACGGGUAGCCGGCCCCAGAGGGGGACCGGCCACCUGGCGACUGCGAUACGGCCCAGACUCGUACGGGAGGCAGCAGUGGGGAAUAUUGCACAAAGGGCCCAAGUCUGAUGCAGCAACGCUGCGUGCGGGAUGAUGUCCUUCUGGUUGAAAACAGCUUUCGCAGGUGCCGAAGCCUGAGUGACGGUACCGGAUAAAGAAGCACCGGCUAACUACGUG
RNAcentral lists this ribosomal RNA (468 nucleotides) under uncultured bacterium. RNAcentral's name for it is "partial 16S ribosomal RNA". It matches the Rfam family "Bacterial small subunit ribosomal RNA", at positions 28 to 507 of the family's 1533-position model. The record is from RNAcentral.